Molecule: ribosomal RNA, 371 nt
Filed under: uncultured bacterium
Lineage: Bacteria
Description: partial 16S ribosomal RNA
Rfam family: Bacterial small subunit ribosomal RNA
Source: RNAcentral
CCUACGGGGGGCAGCAGUGGGGAAUAUUGGGCAAUGGGCGCAAGCCUGACCCAGCAACGCCGCGUGAAGGAAGAAGGCUUUCGGGUCGUAAACCUCUUUGACAGGGGAAGAGCAGAAGACGGUACCCUGAAAACACGCUACGGCUAACUACGUGCCAGCAGCCGCGGUAAUAAGUAGGUGGGCAGCGUUGUCCGGAUUUACUGGGUGGAAAGGGUGUGUAGUCGGGAAGGCAAGUCAGAUGUGAAAUCUGGAGGCUCAACCGCGAAAUUGCAUUUGAAACUGUUUUUCUUGAGUACUGGAGAGGCAGGCGGAAUUCCUUGUGUAGCGGUGAAAUGCGUAGAUAUAAGGAGGAACACCAGUGGCGAAGGCGG